GUGAUGAAGGUUUUCGGAUCGUAAAGCUCUGUUGUUAGGGAAGAACAAGUGCAAGAGUAACUGCUUGCACCAUGACGGUACCUAACCAGAAAGCCACGGCUAACUACGUGCCAGCAGCCGCGGUAAUACGUAGGUGGCAAGCGUUGUCCGGAAUUAUUGGGCGUAAAGGGCUCGCAGGCGGUUUCUUAAGUCUGAUGUGAAAGCCCCCGGCUCAACCGGGGAGGGUCAUUGGAAACUGGGAAACUUGAGUGCAGAAGAGGAGAGUGGAAUUCCACGUGUAGCGGUGAAAUGCGUAGAGAUGUGGAGGAACACCAGUGGCGAAGGCGACUCUCUGGUCUGUAACUGACGCUGAGGAGCGAAAGCGUGGGGAGCGAACAGGAUUAGAUACCCUGGUAGUCCACGCCGUAAACGAUGAGUGCUAAGUGUUAGGGGGUUUCCGCCCCUUAGUGCUGCAGCUAACGCAUUAAGCACUCCGCCUGGGGAGUACGGUCGCAAGACUGAAACUCAAAGGAAUUGACGGGGGCCCGCACAAGCGGUGGAGCAUGUGGUUUAAUUCGAAGCAACGCGAAGAACCUUACCAGGUCUUGACAUCCUCUGACAACCCUAGAGAUAGGGCUUUCCCUUCGGGGACAGAGUGACAGGUGGUGCAUGGUUGUCGUCAGCUCGUGUCGUGAGAUGUUGGGUUAAGU
RNAcentral lists this ribosomal RNA (689 nucleotides) under Bacillus sp. (in: firmicutes). Its description in RNAcentral is "bacterial SSU rRNA". It matches the Rfam family "Bacterial small subunit ribosomal RNA", at positions 405 to 1085 of the family's 1533-position model. The record is from RNAcentral. Lineage: Bacteria; Bacillati; Bacillota; Bacilli; Caryophanales; Bacillaceae.